This 407-nucleotide ribosomal RNA is filed under the name bacterium enrichment culture clone ALO1_GLFRUDD03F9T55. RNAcentral describes it as "bacterial SSU rRNA". It matches the Rfam family "Bacterial small subunit ribosomal RNA", at positions 9 to 416 of the family's 1533-position model. The record is from RNAcentral.
GAGUUUGAUCUUGGCUCAGAUUGAACGCUGGCGGCAUGCCUUACACAUGCAGGUCGAACGGCAGCACGGGAGCUUGCUCCUGGUGGCGAGUGGCGAACGGGUGAGUAAUGCAUCGGAACGUAUCCUGGAGUGGGGGAUAACGUAGCGAAAGUUACGCUAAUACCGCAUAUUCUGUGAGCAGGAAAGCGGGGGACCUUCGGGCCUCGCGCUCUUGGAGCGGCCGAUGUCGGAUUAGCUAGUUGGUGAGGUAAAGGCUCACCAAGGCGACGAUCCGUAGCAGGUCUGAGAGGAUGAUCUGCCACACUGGAACUGAGACACGGUCCAGACUCCUACGGGAGGCAGCAGUGGGGAAUUUUGGACAAUGGGGGCAACCCUGAUCCAGCCAUGCCGCGUGAGUGAAGAAGGCC